Dermacentor albipictus is the source of this 2764-nucleotide non-coding RNA. Lineage: Eukaryota; Metazoa; Arthropoda; Arachnida; Ixodida; Ixodidae. The record is from RefSeq and is a predicted model, not a curated record.
GUGGGAAGGCGCCAAGUCAUGCAGAUGGUAGCAGCGAUUUCACAAUGCCCAGCCUUGGCGCCCCCCAUCAAGAGCAAGCCACUUGCUUUCGCCUUCAGACAGAUGGUUAACGUCUUCUUGAAAGCGGUUGAGAAGACAACAUUGCUGCAAGAUUCCAGCAAUGCCAUGCGCUGCAUUUAUUGGUCAAGAUGCUCAGAGAAUGGAGUCCCUGCACCUCGUGGUUAACCGUGAACAUUUCUUUUUCUUUUGGAAAGCUAAAGGCCAUUUGCUGCAUCACUUGCAUUUUUGCAGCUCAGAUGUGUACUAUAUUUUUCUAAUUUUGAAUCAAUAUUGGCUAUUCAGUAUAAAAAAUGACGUACAGCGUGAAGGACAAGGACUGCGAGAGACACACUCCACUGACUUUCAACAAUAUUUUAUUGCGUUGCCACAUCGUAUGUGUAUACACAGAGGGGUCAUGCGCAGAAAAUGAAAGCCAGACACAAGGGGUGUUCUAACAGCAAGUCAUUGUAAAAAGAACAUGGUCACUUGAAAAAAAAAACAUCACAAUUUCUAUCUGUUUAGAUACAAAAUUUCACUAGGGGUCAGCGUGAUAGAGGGGGCACUAACGCACACACUACCCAGUUUUCUGGUGAAAUCAGCUUCAAUAAUUUACCGGGUGAGCUGUGUCUCGCUAAAACUUCGGUAUCUUAAAGAGGGGCAUGCAGCCGCAGUCCCGGCAAUGAAUGCCCAAGUGGCCUUGAACAGUGUUAUGGACGUUGUUAUAGUGCUCUCUUAAACGAUCAUUUAGGCGCAUGCCUAUCUGUCCAAUAUAUUUACUGCCUCAAAAUGGGAAUUUGGGAAACCACAUUCAUUGCACACAUCGCAAAACGUUUUCUGUGCUCGGCAGAGCAACAACUCUGACGUGAUUUAGGCGCGUUUACACACUUACAGAGCCUUGCCAGCUUUUCCGGGGCUGAGAAAAGGACUGUGAUUUCUGCAGGUCCCCUAAUCUUUUUUAGCCUAUGGGAGACAUCAUGAACAUACGGUAGCACUGCAAACCUGUGUCUUUCAACCGGCUGGUUCCUUGACCGAGCGUGCUCAUCAUGUUUUGUGCACUUCAGAAGCUGUUCCGCUAUGGCUGAAAUUAAGGCCAAAGGGUAGCCAACCCAAGAAAGGCAAUCAGCCUGUGCAGCAACGCUAUGUUGCAUCUCUUGUGAGCAAGAUUUAUUGAGGCUGUUAAGGAGGCAAAGCUUCACAAUAUCUCAUUUGACUUUGUUGGACAGACAGGCAGGCGCCUAAACAAUCAUUUAGGAGAGCACGAUAACAACGUCCAUAACACUGUUCAAGGCCACUUCGGCAUCCAUUGCUGGGACUGCGGCUGCAUGCCCCUCUUUGAAGGUACGGAAGCUUUAGUGAGACAGGUCAUCCAGGAAACUAUAGAAGCAGAUUUCACUAGAAAACUGGUUAGUGUGUGCGUUAGUGACCCCUCUAUCGUGCUGACCCCUAGUGAAGUCUUGUAUCUCAACAGAUAGAAAUUCUAAUGUUUAUUUUUUUCAAAGGACGAUGUUCUUAGUACAGUCACUUGCUGUUAGACACCCCUUGUGACUCAUAUUCUGCGCAUGCCCGCUUUUGUGCAAAUAUACUCGAUGUGGCAAUGUAAUUAAAUAUUGUUUGAAGUCAGCGCAGUCUGUCAUCUCUCGCAGUUCUUGUCAUUCAAGCUGUACGUAAUUUUAUCUCAUUAAUUGCAAACUAUCCCAAGGAACUACCCUUGUUCAGUAUAAUUAUAAUGUUUGAUAUGACCAUUUGCUGGCAAAUGUUAACAGUGUGAUAUUUAACUUGAACUUUUGCAUGACUGCCUAUGCCUGUGUUCUUUUAGUAACCAGAGUAUGGCUAAUUUAUUAAACCAUAUUUGCUAAUUUGCAUGCUCACAUGCUAUAGCAUGCCUUAAUCUUGAAUUACUGCAUCUAAGUGCAAAUAAUUUAGAAAUUUACUAUGUAUUUUAAAACACUGUCCACAUUUUGUGCUCAGCAAAAUCGUUUAAUCAACAGUGGUUUGUUUUUAUCAGGCCUCCUGCUGCACUUUGCACCCAGGCACUAGUAGAUGUGGAAUAUGCACUCUUUUGAUUUAUAGUAAGCAAAGAACCUAUUUUCAAACUACAUAUUGUAUAUGUACCAGUGCCUUAGAGUUACAAAACAAAAAUUUAUAGAAACUGGUAUUGUUAGAAAAACCGCUACACAGUACCUUUAGCCCAGAGAACUCUCAUUUCACAAAAGAGGACAAACUAUGUAGGCGCUAAAAAAUUCUACGUAUUUUUUGUGCUCAAGUAAUCUUGUUGGAAAUAGAAAAUUAGCAAUAAGGCUCCUGGCAUAAACCUCACUUAAAGCAUGUCUAUGCUUGGAAAGUAUUCUUUCAGUCUGAAAAAUGUUGGCCAGUUAUGCUUUACAUCGACUUUCCAAACUUUUCAUAAUGCUUUGCGAUUACAUUAGUGUACAAAAUAACAGGUGUCUUUCUUGUGCGUUUGCUCUGCAUUUCAAUUACUUCCCUAAUUCACCUUUGCAAUAUGCCUUUUUUUAAGGCAUCAAAACUUGAAUUUUCGUUCACUGGAGCCUAAUACUAAAAAUUUAUUCCUUUAUGUGGCCCAAAACACUGCGAAUCAACCCAGGCUCUUUCAGUGCCGCUAUACAUAGUUUCUUCUCGAAUAACAGAUUUGAUCAAUACAUAUAUUUUAGGUACCUUUGUGGGGAAUGUACAUGUUCUUGUACUUACCGAUGUGUUUGGUGAUUGU